GCCGGGUUGGCUGAGUGGUUAGGCGGCUGCUUGCAGGGCAGCAGUACGGAGGUUCGAAUCCUCCGCCCGGCU
This 72-nucleotide transfer RNA is filed under the name Candidatus Bathyarchaeota archaeon. RNAcentral's name for it is "tRNA-Cys". It matches the Rfam family "tRNA". Rfam says of the family: Transfer RNA (tRNA) molecules are approximately 80 nucleotides in length. Their secondary structure includes four short double-helical elements and three loops (D, anti-codon, and T loops). The record is from RNAcentral. Lineage: Archaea; Thermoproteati; Candidatus Bathyarchaeota.